UAGGUUGUCAAGGGAGCGGUUGGCCACACCCUUUGUAGAAAGGGGGUGGUAUGAUGACAAUAUUCGAGGCGAUGUAUCUGAUGAUAUUUGCAACGCUUGUUGUGAUCAUUAUAAAGCAGAAAUAACCGCCCCUGCCUAAGGAUUGCGGUUAUUUCGAUAACCAAAACUCUGAGCUAACCGUUUCCGGUUAGACAACCUAUGGGGCUGGCGUGCUUGCGACACGUCAG
This 227-nucleotide unclassified non-coding RNA is filed under the name Sporomusa acidovorans. RNAcentral's name for it is "BsrG". Lineage: Bacteria; Bacillati; Bacillota; Negativicutes; Selenomonadales; Sporomusaceae. The record is from RNAcentral.